This 417-nucleotide ribosomal RNA is filed under the name Triticum aestivum (bread wheat). RNAcentral's name for it is "partial small subunit ribosomal RNA". The record is from RNAcentral. Lineage: Eukaryota; Viridiplantae; Streptophyta; Magnoliopsida; Poales; Poaceae.
GCGAACGCGGCAUCGGGCAUGGCUGUGGACGACGAAUGCAAGCUCAAGUUCCUGGAGCUGAAGGCGAAGCGAACCCACCGCUUCAUCAUCUACAAGAUAGACGACAAGAAGAAGAUGGUUGUUGUGGAGAAAGUCGGUGAGCCUGCCCUGAACUAUGAGGACUUUGCUGCCAGCCUCCCCACCAAUGAAUGCAGAUACGCGAUAUUCGACUAUGACUUUGUCACCGAGGAGAACUGCCAAAAGAGCAAGAUAUUCUUCGUCGCAUGGUCUCCUGACACCGCACGCGUGAGGAGCAAGAUGAUCUACGCAAGCUCCAAGGAGAGGUUCAAGAGGGAGCUCGACGGCAUCCAGGUGGAGCUGCAGGCGACAGACCCGACCGAGGUCGGCUUCGAUGUCAUCCAAGGCCGUGCCAACUGA